Long non-coding RNA from Pygocentrus nattereri (red-bellied piranha), 330 nucleotides. NCBI's taxonomy places the organism in Eukaryota, Metazoa, Chordata, Actinopteri, Characiformes, Serrasalmidae. The record is from Ensembl.
ACCUUCAGCACUGCAUCGUGGAGGCUUGUGACAGCAUAUAAAAUAAAAUAAAACGGCGUCCUGUGACUUUUGACUCGCCCUGUACAAUAUCACGAUAUGUACCACAGCGUUCAGCUUUGAUAAGUUGCGUCAGAGAGAACGAGCUUACUUGAAGACUAUAAAACUAAGACUAACACUAGAGGAGAUCGAUAUGGCAGGAACGUAAUGUCACGAUGCUCCAAGACGUUUUCACGAUACACGAAUCAGAAGCCCACAGUGGACUUCUUCAGAGUGUGGGAUGCCAUGCUGUGCAGAGAGGCAUAAGGCUGUGUAAACGCAGUGGUGCUAAUC